Molecule: long non-coding RNA, 763 nt
Organism: Syngnathoides biaculeatus (alligator pipefish)
Lineage: Eukaryota; Metazoa; Chordata; Actinopteri; Syngnathiformes; Syngnathidae
Exons: 5
Source: RefSeq, a predicted model, not a curated record
CCCGCACCGGAGGUUCUUGACAGAACGAACUAAAAACUCCAACUCAAAUUUGCAGUCUAAUUACAAUCCGGAUGUGAAACAGCCGUGAGCGGUGACAGGUGUCACCGCCCAGAGCAGUGGCCACCCCCCUCUUGGCCGUGGUCCGGCCCGGCUCACGACAUCGUGAACACGAGUUUGGCCUGUUGCUUGAAUCUCCCCCACGCAUCCGGUAAAUUGGGUGAGUUGGAAUACCGAACGCCUCCUCGUCGUCGUCUUCAUUAGCCCCCCCGCCCCCGUCGCGAGGACAGCGUUCAUUCCUCCUUCAUGAUAGCAUCGUCGGCUCGGUGUGUUGAUCCUGGCAAUAUUUGGACGUGAUCCUCCAGAUGCAAAGUUCAACUCGGCCCACCGGUGAGAGAUCUGGAUUGGCUGGCGACCAGUUCAAGGUGUACCCCGCCUCCUGCCUGUUGACAGCUGGGAUAGGCUCUAGCACUCCCUGCGACCCUCGUGAGGAUAGUUCAGGGCGUACGCGGCCUUCUGCGCGUUGACAGCUUGGAUAGUCUCCAGCACUCCCCGCGACCCUCGUGAGGAUAAGCGGCGAAGAAGAUGGAUGGACGGACGGACAGCCAAUGCAAGAGCUAUAUGGACGGUGUUCACUUUGACUUGAUGGCCUGAGGCGGAUCUCGCCGCGCACCUCCCUGGCCUCGGGGUGACAACAGCGGGUGUAGCGCCCCCUCCACCACGACUGAAUCUUCACAGCCGCUCUCGUCGCUUCCUCCGACGUGUU